This 249-nucleotide long non-coding RNA is filed under the name Elaeis guineensis (African oil palm). RNAcentral describes it as "long non-coding RNA (EGUI_LNC025009)". The record is from RNAcentral. Lineage: Eukaryota; Viridiplantae; Streptophyta; Magnoliopsida; Arecales; Arecaceae.
UGAUUUUUGGCCUAAAAACUGCAGGGGUCGACUCAUGCCUUGGGGGGUCGACUCAUGGGUCGACUCACAGGUUGUGCCAAGCCAAAAAAUCUGCGUGCCAAACAGCUCAUGUGCCAUGAGUUGACUCAUGGGUCGACUCAUGAUUUUCAAAUAUGCAUAUCUUUCAAAAUACAAGUCCAAAAUCAAUGAAAUUUUUGUCAAUGGAUCACAAAUCUUUUGUUCUAUCAUUUGAUACUUUCAAAUCAGGGU